UACGUAGGUGGCAAGCGUUGUCCGGAUUUACUGGGCGUAAAGGGUGUGUAGGCGGAUAUUUAAGUGAGAUGUGAAAUCCCCGGGCUUAACUUGGGGGCUGCAUUUCAAACUGGAUGUCUAGAGUGCAGGAGAGGAAAGCAGAAUUCCUAGUGUAGCGGUGAAAUGCGUAGAGAUUAGGAAGAAUACCAGUGGCGAAGGCGGCUUUCUGGACUGUAACUGACGCUGAGGCAUGAAAGCGUGGGGAGCAAACAGG
This 253-nucleotide ribosomal RNA is filed under the name uncultured bacterium. RNAcentral's name for it is "partial 16S ribosomal RNA". It matches the Rfam family "Bacterial small subunit ribosomal RNA", at positions 524 to 776 of the family's 1533-position model. The record is from RNAcentral.